AGCCUCUUGCCAAUCUCCUUUUCAUAGGUAUUGUGCAUGCUGGUGAAUGUUGGCCUCCCGUGAGCUCUACUGUCUCAUGGUUGGUUGAAAAUCGAGACCUUGGUAGGGUGUGCCAUGAUAGAUGGUGGAAGUGUGACUCACGAUGCCAAGAUCAUGUGCUACCCUAUUCAAUUUGAUCUCUUUUACCCAUAUGCGUUUUGUAAACGCUCGUGAUGAGACCUCAGGUCAGGCGGGGCUACCCGCUGAAUUUAAGCAUAUCAAUAAGCGGAGGAAAAGAAACUAACAAGGAUUCCCUUAGUAACGGCGAGCGAACCGGGAUAAGCCCACCAUGAAAAUCGGUCGCCUUC
RNAcentral lists this ribosomal RNA (347 nucleotides) under Trigonella hamosa. Its description in RNAcentral is "eukaryotic LSU rRNA". The stretch from base 216 to 347 matches the Rfam family "Eukaryotic large subunit ribosomal RNA", at positions 1 to 132 of the family's 3401-position model. The record is from RNAcentral. Lineage: Eukaryota; Viridiplantae; Streptophyta; Magnoliopsida; Fabales; Fabaceae.